RNAcentral lists this ribosomal RNA (695 nucleotides) under uncultured Gilliamella sp. RNAcentral describes it as "bacterial SSU rRNA". It matches the Rfam family "Bacterial small subunit ribosomal RNA", at positions 662 to 1357 of the family's 1533-position model. Lineage: Bacteria; Pseudomonadati; Pseudomonadota; Gammaproteobacteria; Orbales; Orbaceae. The record is from RNAcentral.
UAGAAUUCCACGUGUAGCGGUGAAAUGUGUAGAGAUGUGGAGGAAUACCGGUGGCGAAGGCGGCCUUCUGGACAGAUACUGACGCUGAGAUGCGAAAGCGUGGGGAGCAAACAGGAUUAGAUACCCUGGUAGUCCACGCUGUAAACGAUGUCGAUUUGGAGUUUGUUGCCUAGAGUGAUGGGCUCCGAAGCUAACGCGAUAAAUCGACCGCCUGGGGAGUACGGCCGCAAGGUUAAAACUCAAAUGAAUUGACGGGGGCCCGCACAAGCGGUGGAGCAUGUGGUUUAAUUCGAUGCAACGCGAAGAACCUUACCUGGUCUUGACAUCCACAGAAUCUUGCAGAGAUGCGAGAGUGCCUUCGGGAACUGUGAGACAGGUGCUGCAUGGCUGUCGUCAGCUCGUGUUGUGAAAUGUUGGGUUAAGUCCCGCAACGAGCGCAACCCUUAUCCUUUGUUGCCAGCGAUUCGGUCGGGAACUCAAAGGAGACUGCCGUUGAUAAAGCGGAGGAAGGUGGGGACGACGUCAAGUCAUCAUGGCCCUUACGACCAGGGCUACACACGUGCUACAAUGGCGUAUACAAAGGGAGGCGACCUCGCGAGAGCAAGCGGACCUCAUAAAGUACGUCUAAGUCCGGAUUGGAGUCUGCAACUCGGCUCCAUGAAGUCGGAAUCGCUAGUAAUCGUGAAUCAGAAUGU